UAUGGAGAGUUUGAUCCUGGCUCAGGACGAACGCUGGCGGCGUGCCUAAUACAUGCAAGUCGAGCGGACGGAUGGGAGCUUGCUCCCUGAAGUCAGCGGCGGACGGGUGAGUAACACGUGGGCAACCUGCCUGUAAGACUGGGAUAACUUCGGGAAACCGGAGCUAAUACCGGAUAAUGCACAGCCUCUCAUGAGGCUAUGCUGAAAGAUGGUUUCGGCUAUCACUUACAGAUGGGCCCGCGGCGCAUUAGCUAGUUGGUGAGGUAACGGCUCACCAAGGCAACGAUGCGUAGCCGACCUGAGAGGGUGAUCGGCCACACUGGGACUGAGACACGGCCCAGAC
This 343-nucleotide ribosomal RNA is filed under the name Bacillus infantis. RNAcentral's name for it is "bacterial SSU rRNA". It matches the Rfam family "Bacterial small subunit ribosomal RNA", at positions 1 to 336 of the family's 1533-position model. Lineage: Bacteria; Bacillati; Bacillota; Bacilli; Caryophanales; Bacillaceae. The record is from RNAcentral.